Molecule: ribosomal RNA, 498 nt
Filed under: uncultured bacterium
Lineage: Bacteria
Description: partial 16S ribosomal RNA
Rfam family: Bacterial small subunit ribosomal RNA
Source: RNAcentral
GAUGAACGCUGGCGGCGUGCCUAAUACAUGCAAGUCGAGCGAACAGACGAGGAGCUUGCUCCUCUGACGUUAGCGGCGGACGGGUGAGUAACACGUGGAUAACCUACCUAUAAGACUGGGAUAACUUCGGGAAACCGGAGCUAAUACCGGAUAAUAUAUUGAACCGCAUGGUUCAAUAGUGAAAGACGGUUUUGCUGUCACUUAUAGAUGGAUCCGCGCCGCAUUAGCUAGUUGGUAAGGUAACGGCUUACCAAGGCAACGAUGCGUAGCCGACCUGAGAGGGUGAUCGGCCACACUUGAACUGAGACACGGUCCAGACUCCUACGGGAGGCAGCAGUAGGGAAUCUUCCGCAAUGGGCGAAAGCCUGACGGAGCAACGCCGCGUGAGUGAUGAAGGUCUUCGGAUCGUAAAACUCUGUUAUUAGGGAAGAACAAAUGUGUAAGUAACUAUGCACGUCUUGACGGUACCUAAUCAGAAAGCCACGGCUAACUACGUGC